UAGGGAAUCUUCGGCAAUGGACGAAAGUCUGACCGAGCAACGCCGCGUGAGUGAAGAAGGUUUUCGGAUCGUAAAACUCUGUUGUUAGAGAAGAACAAGGACGUUAGUAACUGAACGUCCCCUGACGGUAUCUAACCAGAAAGCCACGGCUAACUACGUGCCAGCAGCCGAGGUAAUACGUAGGUGGCAAGCGUUGUCCGGAUUUAUUGGGCGUAAAGCGAGCGCAGGCGGUUUCUUAAGUCUGAUGUGAAAGCCCCCGGCUCAACCGGGGAGGGUCAUUGGAAACUGGGAGACUUGAGUGCCGAAGAGGAGAGUGGAAUUCCAUGUGUAGCGGUGAAAUGCGUAGAUAUAUGGAGGAACACCAGUGGCGAAGGCGGCUCUCUGGUCUGUAACUGACGCUGAGGCUCGAAAGCGUGGGGAGCAAACAGG
RNAcentral lists this ribosomal RNA (429 nucleotides) under Gemmatimonadota bacterium. RNAcentral's name for it is "Gemmatimonadetes bacterium partial 16S ribosomal RNA". It matches the Rfam family "Bacterial small subunit ribosomal RNA", at positions 355 to 776 of the family's 1533-position model. The record is from RNAcentral. Lineage: Bacteria; Pseudomonadati; Gemmatimonadota.